GUGAGGAAUAUUGCGGAAUGGAGGCAACUCUGACGCAGCCAUGCCGCGUGCAGGAAGAAGGCGCUACGCGUUGUAAACUGCUUUUAACCGGGAAGAAACCCCAGGACGUGUCCUGGGUUGACGGUACCGGAGGAAUAAGCACCGGCUAACUUCGUGCCAGCAGCCGCGGUAAUACGAAGGGUGCAAGCGUUAUCCGGAUUCAUUGGGUUUAAAGGGUGCGUAGGCGGAGCGUUAAGUCAGUGGUGAAAUCCUGCAGCUUAAGUGUAGACUUGCCAUUGAUACUGGCGCUCUUGAGUGCGCUUGAAGUGGGCGGAAUGUGCCGUGUAGCGGUGAAAUGCUUAGAUAUGGCACAGAACACCAAUUGCGAAGGCAGCUCACUAAGGCGAUACUGACGCUGAGGCACGAAAGCGUGGGGAUCGAACAGGAUUAGAAACCCGAGUAGUCC
This 445-nucleotide ribosomal RNA is filed under the name uncultured bacterium. Its description in RNAcentral is "partial 16S ribosomal RNA". It matches the Rfam family "Bacterial small subunit ribosomal RNA", at positions 354 to 796 of the family's 1533-position model. The record is from RNAcentral.